This 468-nucleotide ribosomal RNA is filed under the name uncultured bacterium. RNAcentral describes it as "partial 16S ribosomal RNA". It matches the Rfam family "Bacterial small subunit ribosomal RNA", at positions 28 to 507 of the family's 1533-position model. The record is from RNAcentral.
GACGAACGCUGGCGGCGUGCUUAACACAUGCCAGUCGAACGGAAAGGCCCUGCUUUUGUGGGGUGCUCGAGUGGCGAACGGGUGAGUAACACGUGAGUAACCUGCCCUUGACUUUGGGAUAACUUCAGGAAACUGGGGCUAAUACCGGAUAGGAGCUCCUGCUGCAUGGUGGGGGUUGGAAAGUUUCGGCGGUUGGGGAUGGACUCGCGGCUUAUCAGCUUGUUGGUGGGGUAGUGGCUUACCAAGGCUUUGACGGGUAGCCGGCCUGAGAGGGUGACCGGCCACAUUGGGACUGAGAUACGGCCCAGACUCCUACGGGAGGCAGCAGUGGGGAAUAUUGCACAAUGGGCGGAAGCCUGAUGCAGCAACGCCGCGUGCGGGAUGACGGCCUUCGGGUUGUAAACCGCUUUCGCCUGUGACGAAGCGUGAGUGACGGUAAUGGGUAAAGAAGCACCUGCUAACUACGUG